CGAGGGCGACAAGGACGCGGCGGCGGCUCUGGCCGCCUCCUGGGACGUGGCGAGCCCUGGCUAGGCUUGGCAGGACUUCCAGGCACGACUCUGGGACGAGGCCAAGUUCAUCCCCAGGAAAAAUGCAAAGCUGAGGAAGCCCUCAGUGACAGACUUCAGCGUGAAACAGAAGUGGGAGAUCUACAGUGACAAUAAAGAAACUCAGAAAGAAGUUGAUUUUCAAAUGAAAACUCUCAUCGUAGAUGGAGAGCUAACAGCCCUGCAGCACUGGGAUAUGGCUGGGCAGGAGAG
This is a long non-coding RNA of Mesoplodon densirostris (Blainville's beaked whale), 291 nucleotides long. RefSeq lists it as uncharacterized. The record is from RefSeq and is a predicted model, not a curated record. Lineage: Eukaryota; Metazoa; Chordata; Mammalia; Artiodactyla; Ziphiidae. The transcript is spliced from 3 exons.